GUAAGGCAUCGGGUUUUGUCCCGUUACUUGGAGGUUCGAAUCCUUCCGUCCCAGA
Molecule: transfer RNA, 55 nt
Filed under: Anathallis pusilla
Lineage: Eukaryota; Viridiplantae; Streptophyta; Magnoliopsida; Asparagales; Orchidaceae
Description: partial tRNA-Gln
Source: RNAcentral